UACGUAGGUGGCGAGCGUUGUCCGGAAUUACUGGGUGUAAAGGGCGUGCAGGCGGGGAUAUAAGUCAGAUGUGAAAUACCACGGCUCAACUGUGGCAUUGCAUCUGAAACUAUAUUUCUUGAGUACUGGAGAGGGAAGCGGAAUUCCUAGUGUAGCGGUGAAAUGCGUAGAUAUUAGGAGGAACACCAGUGGCGAAGGCGGCUUUCUGGACAGUAACUGACGCUGAGGCGCGAAAGCGUGGGGAG
RNAcentral lists this ribosomal RNA (245 nucleotides) under uncultured bacterium. Its description in RNAcentral is "partial 16S ribosomal RNA". It matches the Rfam family "Bacterial small subunit ribosomal RNA", at positions 524 to 768 of the family's 1533-position model. The record is from RNAcentral.